UCCCUGUAGUUUGAAUGUGAAAUGAAUUGGAGCAGCGUACAGGGCUCCUCUCCCCUCCCCUCCCCUCCUCUCCUCUCUCGCAAACAAUGCUUCUGCUUCUGCAGAGCAGACGAUCUUGAGGAUCAACCCUCUCGAAUCAAUACUUUUCCCUGCUAUGCUCUGCCUGUACAUUGAAAUGAAUUGGGGUUAUCCAGUUUGGGCUCUGAGGCAGGUGUUGGUUGAAGGCAGGGGCGGUGAUUCUCGGACAGCGGUUGUCAAUCCACCCGCUUCUCUCGAUGCUCUCGCCGCCGCUAUGUUGUGUUUUUCCAUACCCAAUCCAUCUUGUCCUUCCUUCUUCAAGCCCAAAUCUUCUAUCAACACGAAGCGCAGCAUCGGCUUCUCCAAGUUGGGCUCAUGACUUAGAGCUAACCCACUUUAAAGGGGGGUUGCUUUCCGACUUUAGGUGGAGAGGGAAAGUCGUGACAUUGGAGUCCGGCAGUUCCCGCAUUGUUGAAUGAUCAGGAAGCUGCUGCAGUGCAUACAGACUUGGGCGCAGCUAUUGACUUGAAGCUCCUGAGAAGAAGAAGAUUGAUUUUACGCUUAAUGAAUGUGGUGAAAGAUCACGAACAACUUGUGGACCAAUUUGCUAGUGCAGAUUACCCUCUUCGUAAAGUAUGGAAGUGGCUCAUGGCAUUCAAAUACAUCAUAUCAGAAAAUGCAGCUUCUGAAAGCUAGAAGAACAGCAGAAGUAAGUGCAACCCUCAUCCACAUCUCGGACCUUCUUACUUGUAGGUAUACAGCAAUUCCACCACUCUGUAAAAACAAGUGACAGCGUGUAAAAGAUGGGUGAUCUUUCCAUGACAUAAUAUAUAACCAAAAGUAUGUUUAUACUAAUAAUGGCAUGUUACUUAUAUUACCAUGUCUGGGGAGGGUGCUGGGGCUGUAUCCUCUUUGUCUUGCACUGCUGUUGGAGGGGCUGGGGGGCUUUUCGGGAGGGUCGGCGCUGGGGCAGGUGCAUGGUGAUGUCUUUUGUGUUUGUGCUUUC
This is a non-coding RNA of Punica granatum (pomegranate), 1024 nucleotides long. NCBI's taxonomy places the organism in Eukaryota, Viridiplantae, Streptophyta, Magnoliopsida, Myrtales, Lythraceae. The record is from RefSeq and is a predicted model, not a curated record.